RNAcentral lists this ribosomal RNA (480 nucleotides) under Alteromonas australica. RNAcentral describes it as "bacterial SSU rRNA". It matches the Rfam family "Bacterial small subunit ribosomal RNA", at positions 874 to 1355 of the family's 1533-position model. The record is from RNAcentral. Lineage: Bacteria; Pseudomonadati; Pseudomonadota; Gammaproteobacteria; Alteromonadales; Alteromonadaceae.
UGGGGAGUACGGCCGCAAGGUUAAAACUCAAAUGAAUUGACGGGGGCCCGCACAAGCGGUGGAGCAUGUGGUUUAAUUCGAUGCAACGCGAAGAACCUUACCUACACUUGACAUGCAGAGAACUUUCUAGAGAUAGAUUGGUGCCUUCGGGAACUCUGACACAGGUGCUGCAUGGCUGUCGUCAGCUCGUGUCGUGAGAUGUUGGGUUAAGUCCCGCAACGAGCGCAACCCUUGUCCUUAGUUGCCAGCAUUAAGUUGGGCACUCUAAGGAGACUGCCGGUGACAAACCGGAGGAAGGUGGGGAGGACGUCAAAGUCAUCAUGGCCCUUACGUGUAGGGCUACACACGUGCUACAAUGGCAUUUACAGAGGGAAGCGAGACAGUGAUGUGGAGCGGACCCCUUAAAGAAUGUCGUAGUCCGGAUUGGAGUCUGCAUCUCGACUCCAUGAAGUCGAAUCGCUAGUAAUCGCAUGUCAGAAU